This 429-nucleotide ribosomal RNA is filed under the name uncultured bacterium. RNAcentral describes it as "bacterial SSU rRNA". It matches the Rfam family "Bacterial small subunit ribosomal RNA", at positions 355 to 775 of the family's 1533-position model. The record is from RNAcentral.
UGAGGAAUAUUGGUCAAUGGGCGGAAGCCUGAACCAGCCAUGCCGCGUGAGUGAGGAAGGUUUUCGGACCGUAAAGCUCUGUCGAGCGGGAAGAAAUGCAUGGUGGCUAAUAUCCAUCAUGCUUGACGGUACCGCUAAAGGAAGCACCGGCUAACUCCGUGCCAGCAGCCGCGGUAAUACGGGGGGUGCGAGCGUUGUUCGGAAUUAUUGGGCGUAAAGAGCGUGUAGGCGGCCGAAUAAGUCAGAUGUGAAAUCCCUGGGCUUAACCCAGGACGUGCAUUUGAAACUAUUCGGCUAGAGUAGGGGAGAGGAAAGUGGAAUUCCUGGUGUAGAGGUGAAAUUCGUAGAUAUCAGGAGGAACACCGGUGGCGAAGGCGACUUUCUGGCCCUAUACUGACGCUGAGACGCGAGAGCGUGGGUAGCAAACAG